AACUUUCGGCCGGUCGCAUCGCUCUCGUCGCGUACACGCGCAAGUGCCGCAUGCACACCACGCAUCCAUUGGUCCCACGUGCACCACUCAGGCACCCUGUCCUUAUCCAGCAAUGCCACGUCCUUAUCCUCACCAACUGCUCAUCCACACAAACCUCAUCUUCUCGCUCGCCUUUCACCUGCCUCGCCUCUGUCUCUCGCUCGCGCCGUUGCAUCCUUGCUCCGGCGAGCCCCACCACUAGCCACGCGAGGAGCUGCAACCGGAGGGCGGAGGAGUUGCUACCGGCCACUCGGAGAGCUCGACCGGCGGGCAGAGGAGCUACAAGCCGGGAACAAAACCGACGACCGCCGUGCUGGAUUCAGCACGCCGGGGUGCUGCAACCGGCAGAUCAAAUAGCUGCAACUACCUUUUGUAUUUGCUGGGACCGGUGAGAAAUUUCGCUGCGACCAUCGACGGUGAGCUUUUUUUGCUGGAACCGGUUUUCUUUUUUGCUGGAACCAUGUUUUUGUUUUGUUGGAAUCAUGUCAAGCAUGCUGGGAGUUUGCAGCUCCGGCAAGAGCAGCAUCUGCUCGCCGUGGAUACGCGCGCAGCUCGUGCUCUGCCCAACAGCACGAUGCGUGCAGCUCUGGCGAGGGGCAGCAUCUACUCGCGUGCAGCCCUUCCCCAACAGAUGACUUGUCGCGGAUGACGAUCUGCAUGCUCCGCUCUACUUGCAGGAGAGAGGGCAACCACCAUCAGAAGAUGCUUCAACCUCGGCGCGGCGGAGCUACAAGUGUAGGUCCGGGAGCUGCAACCAGCCAGACAAAUGAUGGAACCGGCGACGACCGUGUUGUGUCGGCGACGGCGGCGGUCCACCAUUGCUGGAACUAGCUACAUUUUUUGCUGGAACUACCAUUAUUUUUUGCUGGAACUGGAUUUUUUUGUUGCUACAAUCAACUAGUGUGUUUGCUGCUGAGUUUUUUUUUUGCUGGAACCAGCAUUUGUGUUUGCUGGAACUGGCUUUUUUGUUUGCUACAAUCAUCUUUCUCAGAUUUGUACUGCUGAGAUUAUUUUUGCUAGAAACGUCAUCAAUUUUUGGUACCAUCGUAUUCUUGUUUUGCUGGAAUCAUCAUUUUUUUUCAAGGAUCCAACUUGAUGGUGAUGCGGGUAGUUUAUUAUUAUUUUUUUGAACUUUGACGGCGAGCGUCGACGGGGAGCACGGCAGCAACCCGUUGACGACGAGGGCAAACGGGGGACGGCGGACAGAAGCAACGUGACGUGGUGGCGAGGUGCGACUGCCAUGUGCUUGUGUUUUUUUUGUCGGUUCUCGUGCGCGGUGGGAAAGAAGGGGAUGGGCCGGGCAGGAUCAGACGGCUGACAGGGGCAGAAUCGUACGGCUCGCGGCUGACCGGCCCAAAUUUGGGCCGGUGCGCCGGCGCCUAUCAUCGCCCGAAUAAACACUUGUAUACGGCGCGCCGGCCGAACUUUCGGCCGGUCGCAUCGCUCUCGUCGCGUACACGCGCAAGUGCCGCAUGCACAUCACGCAUCCAUUGGUCCCACGUGCACCACUCAGGCACCCUGUCCUUAUCCAGCAAUGCCACGUCCUUAUCCUCACCAACUGCUCAUCCACACAAACCUCAUCUUCUCGCUCGCCUUUCACCUGCCUCGCCUCUGUCUCUCGCUCGCGCCGUUGCAUCCUUGCUCCUGCGAGCCCCACCACUAGCCACGCGAGGAGCUGCAACCGGAGGGCGGAGGAGUUGCUACCGGCCACUCGGAGAGCUCGACCGGCGGGCAGAGGAGCUACAAGCCGGGAACAAAACCGACGACCGCCGUGCUGGAUUCAGCACGCCAGGGUGCUGCAACCGGCAGAUCAAAAAUAGCUGCAACUACCUUUUGUAUUUGCUGGGACCGGUGAGAAAUUUCGCUGCGACCAUCGACGGUGAGCUUUUUUUGCUGGAACCGGUUUUCUUUUUUGCUGGAACCAUGUUUUUGUUUUGUUGGAAUCAUGUCAAGCAUGCUGGGAGUUUGCAGCUCCGGCAAGAGCAGCAUCUGCUCGCCGUGGAUACGCGCGCAGCUCGUGCUCUGCCCAACAGCACGAUGCGUGCAGCUCUGGCGAGGGGCAGCAUCUACUCGUGUGCAGCCCUUCCCCAACAGAUGACUUGUCGCGGAUGACGAUCUGCGUGCUCCGCUCUACUUGCAGGAGAGAGGGCAACCACCAUCAGAAGAUGCUUCAACCUCGGCGCGGCGGAGCUACAAGUGUAGGUCCGGGAGCUGCAACCAGCCAGACAAAUGAUGGAACCGGCGACGACCGUGUUGUGUCGGCGACGGCGGCGGUCCACCAUUGCUGGAACUAGCUACAUUUUUUGCUGGAACUACCAUUAUUUUUUGCUGGAACUGGAUUUUUUUGUUGCUACAAUCAACUAGUGUGUUUGCUGCUGAGUUUUUUUUUUGCUGGAACCAGCAUUUGUGUUUGCUGGAACUGGCUUUUUUGUUUGCUACAAUCAUCUUUCUCAGAUUUGUACUGCUGAGAUUAUUUUUGCUAGAAACGUCAUCAAUUUUUGGUACCAUCGUAUUCUUGUUUUGCUGGAAUCAUCAUUUUUUUUCAAGGAUCCAACUUGAUGGUGAUGCGGGUAGUUUAUUAUUAUUUUUUUGAACUUUGACGGCGAGCGUCGACGGGGAGCACGGCAGCAACCCGUUGACGACGAGGGCAAACGGGGG
Molecule: long non-coding RNA, 2697 nt
Filed under: Triticum aestivum (bread wheat)
Lineage: Eukaryota; Viridiplantae; Streptophyta; Magnoliopsida; Poales; Poaceae
Description: long non-coding RNA (TAES_LNC009844)
Source: RNAcentral